RNAcentral lists this ribosomal RNA (219 nucleotides) under uncultured bacterium. RNAcentral's name for it is "partial 16S ribosomal RNA". It matches the Rfam family "Bacterial small subunit ribosomal RNA", at positions 308 to 526 of the family's 1533-position model. The record is from RNAcentral.
GCNCCCUCCGCGCCAUCAGACUCCUACGGGAGGCGAGCAGUGGGGAAGUAUUGGACAAUGGGGGCGAACCCUGAUCCAGCAAUACCGCGUGUGUGAAGAAGGCCUUCGGGUUGUAAAGCACUUAGGCGGGAAGAAGGUUGUUAUUUUAAGAGAUAGACAACUUGACGGUACCCGCAGAAUAAGCACCGGCUAACUCUGUGCCAGCAGCCGCGGUAAUUC